Long non-coding RNA from Lethenteron reissneri (Far Eastern brook lamprey), 410 nucleotides. RefSeq lists it as uncharacterized. The record is from RefSeq and is a predicted model, not a curated record. Lineage: Eukaryota; Metazoa; Chordata; Hyperoartia; Petromyzontiformes; Petromyzontidae.
GGUGUGCGAGCCACAGAGAGGGGUCGCGUUUUGUGCGGUGAGUGAGUGUGAGGAGCGGUGGCGCAGCGGUUAGCGCUCCGCUACGAGUUCACUUCACCGCUGGGCAUCCCCAGUGCUGGAGAGACAAAGGCGGUCGGGCGUGCUUCUGGCUGCAUAGUGUUGUUGUUGCAUCACUUUUUGGGUUGUUGUGGCAGGUUUGUGCCAGGCUAGGUUCACCACGACCGCCAAUAUGGGGCCAAUCUUCUUGCUGCUCCUGAUGGUGGCAGCUCCAGAUGGAGAAGCUGGGAGAAUCAGCAAGAGAGCUGGAGAUGAGGUUCAGCAAGAAGUCUCCGUGGGCUCCCGGGCCGCCCACGCCUUCCUGCGGACCCGCCGCCAGGCCUGGGACCCCCAGGACCCCACGUUCUGGCGCC